RNAcentral lists this unclassified non-coding RNA (569 nucleotides) under Hevea brasiliensis (rubber tree). The record is from RNAcentral. Lineage: Eukaryota; Viridiplantae; Streptophyta; Magnoliopsida; Malpighiales; Euphorbiaceae.
GCAUGCCUUUAAAAAAAAUUGUCACUAUAAGCUGUACCUUUAUCUUAAAUUAAAAACUUCAGGCAAGAUAAAUCUUCACUGCUAACUCCAGUCCAAUUGAUCCACAAAAGCUUAUAACAUAAAAUUCAAGUCCUUUGUGGCGCUCUGCCUAUGCAAUCUAGGUAUUCUCAUUGUUGUCAGCUUGAUAAAAGGCUCAGAAGACAAGCAAAAUAGAAAUAUUCUCAUCCUCGUUGAAAUUCUUAAAGAAAAUGGUUCCAGUUAAUCACCCCACCUUUUACACCAUGUAGUCUCCCACCAAAGCCUACUUGUUGAACACCACAUUGUAAAGUGAAGGGUAGGCUCCCAUAAGAGUACUAUCAUCCCCCACCAUGAUGUCUUCCCAAUAUCAAGUAUUAAGCCAUCUCAACCUUGACUUAUAAAAAAUAAAAAAGGGAGUCAAACUAACUCAAUCCUAAAGCUGCCCACAUGCCAAUGCCGUCAGACAUCUUAGGGCACCAUCAUCCAAUAUGACACCCAAUAUAUUGAGCAUCUUUUCGAAAUCUUCAACAUGUAUUUUGUUUUGAAACAUA